RNAcentral lists this ribosomal RNA (253 nucleotides) under uncultured Pseudomonas sp. Its description in RNAcentral is "partial 16S ribosomal RNA". It matches the Rfam family "Bacterial small subunit ribosomal RNA", at positions 524 to 776 of the family's 1533-position model. Lineage: Bacteria; Pseudomonadati; Pseudomonadota; Gammaproteobacteria; Pseudomonadales; Pseudomonadaceae. The record is from RNAcentral.
UACGUAGGGUGCAAGCGUUAAUCGGAAUUACUGGGCGUAAAGCGCGCGUAGGUGGUUUGAUAAGUUGGAUGUGAAAGCCCCGGGCUCAACCUGGGAAUUGCAUCCAAAACUGUCUGACUAGAGUACGGUAGAGGGUAGUGGAAUUUCCUGUGUAGCGGUGAAAUGCGUAGAUAUAGGAAGGAACACCAGUGGCGAAGGCGACUACCUGGACUGAUACUGACACUGAGGCACGAAAGCAUGGGGAGCAAACAGG